Molecule: ribosomal RNA, 250 nt
Filed under: uncultured bacterium
Lineage: Bacteria
Description: partial 16S ribosomal RNA
Rfam family: Bacterial small subunit ribosomal RNA
Source: RNAcentral
UGAUGGCGAGUGGCGAACGGGUGAGUAACAUAUCGGAACGUACCUAGUAAUGGGGAACAACCAGCCGAAAGGUUGGCUAAUACCGCAUACGACCUACGGAUGAAAGUGGGGGACCUUCGGGCCUUACGCUGAUGGAGCGGCUGAUGUCGGAUUAGCUAGUUGGUAGGGUAAAGGCCUACCAAGGCGACGAUCCGUAGCUGGUCUGAGAGGAUGGACAGCCACAUUGGGACUGAGACACGGCCCAGACUCC